GUGGAUCAGACUACCUUGUGCCUGGGAAGCAGCAGUCAGUGCUCUCAUUCACCAAGAAGCUGACUCCUGGCAUCAAUGUUGUUGCUGGAGAUGGUUUCCCUUCAAAGGUCUUCUUCAACGGCGACGAGUGUGCAAUGCCUCAGAGGAUUCCAAUGAGCAAUAGUGGAUUCAGGACCCAUCUCAGCAGUGUCCUCUCACUGGUUUUGGUCCUGGCUGCUUCGGCCUUCGUAUUGCUUCAGCAAUAAUCCUGGCCGUUGCUCCGAUUCUUUCAUUCUUUCAGGUGGUUGGAUCGACGCCAUUUGUAAGAAACCUUUUUGUUUCUGGCGGUUUACUAGAUGCGUAAUGGUUGCUAUGUAGCAGAAUCUGGCAGCAAUUGUGCGGCGAGAUGAACACAUAGGGGGAGGAAACAUUGUUGCAGACUUGCAACAUAGCAUCAGGAUCACUUUCCUGAAUCCUGAUGAUAUUUAUUACUACAUGUUUACAUCAAGAUGAGUGAUAUUGUACAUCUCUGAUUUAAGUUGGUGUAGUUGCCAGGAAUGUCUUAUGUUUAGUUAUGUUAUAUACAAAAUACAUUUUGCCAUCAAACCGUAUGUCUGCUCAUUUUCUGUCUGCUUUUCUGAAGCUAAGCUGCUCUCUUCAGUUUAUUGUCAUACCAUACGAUACAUGGUACUAGUAAUUCUGAAACUGUUGCUCUUGCAAGUGGGAGCAACAUUGGAUGCUUCUUAAUCAGAUCUCUACAGUAUUAAAUACGAACUAAAUGAAUGUUCGUAUGCUUCUUGUAUACAAACUUCAAAACAUGUUUGGAGGAUAACGCUCGAAAUGGCCGUUGGGUUAGCUGGGGACCACAGCUUCAGUGCCAAUGUAAUUUCAAACCAUUUGGCAACUUUGCAAGCCUAUAGUUUUUUUGCAACGUUCAGGUUUCAAACAGCAAGAAGCCUUUCGCUUUCUUGAAAGCAACUUGCAGCUGACAAUCUUAUGCCCUUCUUUAUGAGCAUUGGCCGAAUCAAAGAAACGGACGAUACUGGUAUACAGGAUAGAUAUUGUUUUCUCUAGUAAUCUUAUGACAUCGCACACUUCAGUUAACAGCAACGUCCUUUUGGUUCUGACCAUCUCCUCCAUCCAGAGAGUCCAGACUUGUUCCGAGUUGCAGCUGAGGAGGAGUAGCGUAUUAUCAUCUCUGCACGCAAUAUCAAUGUGUUAUAUGUCCAUGUCAAACCUGAGAUAACAUAACUGGCACGCACGAUCAUGUGUUUGUUUUAUGCUUAUAUGCAUGCAGGAUUGGGGUGGUUUGUUCGUGCCAGGUGGUGGAACGCAACAAACACCGUGUUUUAGAUAUAGACUGCGUUAACCCUGGGGACUACCGAUUGCUGACAUUUUCUAACUGUACAGGCUGUUGAUGUUGUCAAAAGCUGAUGUGUUCAAAACCUACUAUGAUUCUUCACGUGAGAGCUUGUCCACACGGUACCACUGUUUCAUGUUUUAGUCAUCUACUAGUUGUGAAAACAGGAGGCAAUGUAAUUGGGUGGAUUGACAAAAUGAUGUAGCUGCAUUGCUCAGCAAUAUGGAAAUCGAAGGUCCAGCAACCAAAAUGAUCUGGCAUGACGGUACGAAUUUGACGAAGUGAUGUACUGCUAGAUGUAGCCAGGACUGAUGGCACUAACAUGCUGAAAAGUGAUUUGAGGAAUAAAUAUUUUUUUUAUUGAUUCAUUCAUGCGGAGCAUGAUGCUGCAAAUCCUGCGCUACCGUUGGUGCAAGCUGAGCAUCAUUUGGUUGACUUUCUUUUAACACAUGCGGGAUGUUCUGGUUCUAGCUGAUCUUUCUCCUUAAGAACUCAGACGUCCUGGCGUUAAUGCUACGAGUAAACAUAGACUUCUUGAUGGAGUCAAAACCCAGAACAUCCUCCCCAAAAAAAAAGUCCCCUAUGCCGCGAGUUAGAGUCUCAUCGGGUGCUCAUACAAAGUAUUUCCCAAUAAGCCGUUUUGGCUUAUUAGAAAAUAAAAAAUAAUAUAUUUGUUCGUAGCGAUUUAAAAACCAAUAUUAAAAAAAUACGUUGAAAAUAUCUUAAAAUCAAUUUUAAAAUUUAGUUUGAAAAUUUAAAUUUUAGCUUUUACUUUGACUUAUUAGGUCAAGUGAUGGGGUUCACACUGGCCAGUGAUCACAAAUCAAAGUGACGGUGAUGUAAACGUGCUAGGGGCAAUAUUCCACUGGAAACUUCUGAAAGUAGCUGAUUAUGGUCGUUUUGAAAAGUACAGUGUUUGUUAGCUUCUGCUUUUCUCGUUGAUCUUUCCUUCAGCGAGAACGGUAUUUGAUUCUUGAUUUCUAAGUGGACGCAAAGAGAACCAAACUAGAGCAAAUCUCAAGUCAAUGCGAUCUUUGCUAUGCCUCAGCUUUUCCAACAACGAGGAGUCCCACAAUUGCAAAUCGGCAGUCUCCAGUUCUCCACCAAGGUUUAUCUUACCAGCAGCGGAAACUGCCGGUAAAAUUUGGUAAAUUAGUUCGAAUUUAGAUUUGAAAAAAAAAUAAAAAAAUAAAAAAAAUCAUAUAAGUAAUACCGAGUUUGUAGUUCUAUCUGAUAAUAAGGUUCUAUGAAAUGUACUAAGUUAACUCCAUGUAUUGCAGCCGAACUGAAACUGAGACUAAAAUUAGAAAAAAUAGACAGAUGGGCUAGGCCAAUAGUGAACACUAUUCAUGAAGCCCAUUAAAGUCCGCUUGAGGGAAAAAUGUGAUUCCUACUUUAUUUCAAGACGAGCACAUGAUACCAUUCGAACGAGAUACUUUUAUGGAGGCUAACGUCAUCCUGCCCCUACUCCUCGUGCUUGCGUCCUCGCGCCUUGAGCCAGCGCGACAGCAGUAGUAAGGAACAAGGGUCAAGUCGAGAAAAAAGGAGAAUAUGAGAGGAGACGCUGAUGCUUGGUACUUGCUACCUCGCAAGUACUAAUCCUGCCAUCCUGGUACCUAGGGUACUAUGUAUGAUACCUAUUGUACCGCUACGAACGAUAUAUCAUGUAACGUAC
RNAcentral lists this long non-coding RNA (3014 nucleotides) under Oryza sativa (Asian cultivated rice). RNAcentral describes it as "long non-coding RNA (OSAT_LNC000539)". Lineage: Eukaryota; Viridiplantae; Streptophyta; Magnoliopsida; Poales; Poaceae. The record is from RNAcentral.